Long non-coding RNA from Perognathus longimembris pacificus (Pacific pocket mouse), 1370 nucleotides. RefSeq lists it as uncharacterized. The transcript is spliced from 3 exons. NCBI's taxonomy places the organism in Eukaryota, Metazoa, Chordata, Mammalia, Rodentia, Heteromyidae. The record is from RefSeq and is a predicted model, not a curated record.
UGCAUGAAUGAAUGAAUGAAUGAAUGAAUGAGAGAGAGAUAAAUCCUCCAAGGUCACAUGGCAAACAAAGAAAGAGAUCAGAAAUGGAAAUACUGGGUACUCUAGCUUCUCAAACUAACCCUAUAACAGUAAUGUUAAAACAGUAAGCACAAUCUGGGCUUCCCAAACACACAUGACAGAAGGGGUCUCUUAGAGCUGAGCUACAUUCUACAUGACACUGACAGAUUAUAAACUCUCUGUCUGGAAUUAAGUAGGCUAAGCCCUGGUAAACAAAAAUCUGUUUGACGCUAACUGCUAAAUAAGGCCCAAGCUCACUAUUUCUUACCCAGUAACAUCUUUACAAUUUAAGUCAUUUGCAAAUUCUCCUAUGUCCUCAACACACCAGGACAUCAUAUGGCCUGGUCUACCAGUAGAUUCUACAUAUAAACUAUAUUCUGAACACAAACGGGUCACAAGUAACUCUUGGAAAAGCCAGAAAUAUCUCAAGAAUAUGCAUAUGAGUAUGAAAAUAACCUAAGUGAACAAAAACUUCUUUAUGCUUCAAAAAAAUUUAGUCAAAAAUAUUCUAGGGGUUGUGAAUGUGGCUUGGUGGUAGAGUACUUGCCUAGCAUGCAUGAAUCCCUGGGUUCGAUUCCUCAGUGCCACAUAAACAGAAAAACUACACACAGAAGUGGCACUGUGGCUCCAGAGGUAGAGCUAGCCUUAAGCAAAAAGGAACCACGGACAGUGCUCAGGCCCUGAGUCCCAGGACUGGCAACACUAAUACUAGACUCUGGAACUGCUCAUGGUGGGGAUACUGUGUCUCAUUCAUUGUGUGCCAGUGCUUGACACAGGUUUGCAAAUAACAGGCAUUAAGCCACUCACUAAAUGAAUAUACUACAGGAGUGAAGCUGUCAAGUUACUAAGUUCUAAUUGUUAUUUUAAAGGUGAGGUACAGAGGAGUUAUGGUUAAAUAAGGUAAUGAGUACAUUUCCUUUUGGACAAUGUCACCCCUUCCCUCACUGUCUCCUAGUUUUUCCCUCCCGUCCCCACCCAGAAGUUGUAUAGUUCGUUUUCAAAUAAAUUCUAAUAAUGAGCUGCCCAUUUGGUAUGUAGUGCAAAUGACAAACAUAAACUUCUUUCUAGUCCUUACAUCAAUAUGAAUCAGAGAAAGUUCAAACUCAUGAAUUGUACUUGUUUAAUAUCAGGUUGAUUCUGCCCUAAAAACAGUAAUUUGCCAUUGUUUAUAGCAAUACCUGUAUAUACAAAACUGUUAUAUCAACUUUAAAACGUUAUCAUAAUCACCUCUUAACAGGGGGAUAGGGAGGGACAGAUUUAUAGUUUAAGAAACUUGGAGCCAAAUACCAGUGGCUCACACCUGCAAUCCUAUA